CGCGUAGGCGGUUUGUAAGUCGGAUGUGAAAGCCCUGGGCUUAACCUGGGAAUUGCAUUCGAUACUGCAUAACUAGAGUACGGUAGAGGGAAGUGGAAUUCCGGGUGUAGCGGUGAAAUGCGUAGAUAUCCGGAGGAACACCAGUGGCGAAGGCGACUUCCUGGGCCAGUACUGACGCUGAGGUGCGAAAGCGUGGGGAGCAAACA
RNAcentral lists this ribosomal RNA (206 nucleotides) under uncultured bacterium. RNAcentral describes it as "partial 16S ribosomal RNA". It matches the Rfam family "Bacterial small subunit ribosomal RNA", at positions 568 to 774 of the family's 1533-position model. The record is from RNAcentral.